Molecule: small nuclear RNA, 107 nt
Organism: Artibeus jamaicensis (Jamaican fruit-eating bat)
Lineage: Eukaryota; Metazoa; Chordata; Mammalia; Chiroptera; Phyllostomidae
Source: RefSeq, a predicted model, not a curated record
GUGUUCACUUCAGCAGCACACACACUAACACCGGAACGUUACAGAGAAGAUGAGCAUGGCCUCUGUGCAAGGAUGACACACAAAUUCAUGAAGCACAGACAUGUCCC